UGCUCCUUAUAUAGAAACAAGUUAUCCAGUGUGAUGAGAAAGAUCAAUCAGGGGCAAGUGAAGUUUCAUUGUUGGUUGUAUAUGAUACUGUGACAAUUAUAUUAUAUCUUUCCAUUAUUAGUAGAAGUUACAAGCUCACUGCAACACCUGGCUAGGUGGUCUUAGUAUGUCUUGUAUAAAUGCAUAUUUUGCUUUGUUGAGACUAAUGUUGUUAUCGUGUUCUUUGUGAAAUAAUUCCAACAAUCCAACUCUAUAUAGUCAUAGUUUAUUCAUUUCUCUGUAGAAGUGUAUAUCCUUAAUUUUCUUCUUUUACUGUCUU
RNAcentral lists this unclassified non-coding RNA (319 nucleotides) under Hevea brasiliensis (rubber tree). The record is from RNAcentral. Lineage: Eukaryota; Viridiplantae; Streptophyta; Magnoliopsida; Malpighiales; Euphorbiaceae.